This is a long non-coding RNA of Suncus etruscus (white-toothed pygmy shrew), 179 nucleotides long. RefSeq lists it as uncharacterized. The record is from RefSeq and is a predicted model, not a curated record. NCBI's taxonomy places the organism in Eukaryota, Metazoa, Chordata, Mammalia, Eulipotyphla, Soricidae. The transcript is spliced from 2 exons.
ACCCAAAUUGCUUUCUUUGUAUUAUCAAAGUAAAGUGUGUGUGAUGGUGACAUUUAUGGUCUUAGUGUAUGGAAUUUUGUGCACUUUAGUGAUGGUGAGGUGAAGUAACAAGGUGCAUUAUAUGCAAAAAUUUUGUUAUUUCCUAAAAUGACCAAUAAACAAUUUAUUUGGAGAAAGAA